This 24-nucleotide ribosomal RNA is filed under the name Eunicella cavolini. RNAcentral's name for it is "Eunicella cavolinii partial 5.8S ribosomal RNA". The record is from RNAcentral. Lineage: Eukaryota; Metazoa; Cnidaria; Anthozoa; Malacalcyonacea; Eunicellidae.
AGCAUGUCUGUCUGGGUGUUGGUU